CAAACGACUCUCGGCAACGGAUAUCUCGGCUCACGCAUCGAUGAAGAACGUAGCAAAAUGCGAUACUUGGUGUGAAUUGCAGAAUCCCGUGAACCAUCGAGUUUUUGAACGCAAGUUGCGCCCGAAGCCUUUUGGCCGAAGGCACGUCUGCCUGGGCGUCACAC
This 164-nucleotide ribosomal RNA is filed under the name Rugelia nudicaulis. RNAcentral describes it as "5.8S ribosomal RNA". It matches the Rfam family "5.8S ribosomal RNA". Rfam says of the family: 5.8S ribosomal RNA (5.8S rRNA) is a component of the large subunit of the eukaryotic ribosome. It is transcribed by RNA polymerase I as part of the 45S precursor that also contains 18S and 28S rRNA. The record is from RNAcentral. Lineage: Eukaryota; Viridiplantae; Streptophyta; Magnoliopsida; Asterales; Asteraceae.